GACGAACGCUGGCGGCGUGCUUAACACAUGCAAGUCGAGCGGAAAGGCCCUUCGGGGUACUCGAGCGGCGAACGGGUGAGUAACACGUGAGGAACCUGCCCCAGACUUUGGGAUAACCCUCGGAACGGAGGCUAAUACCGGAUAUGACAUUCCAUCGCAUGGUGGUUUGUGGAAAAGUUUUCGGUUUGGGAUGGUCUCGCGGCCUAUCAGCUUGUUGGUGGGGGUAA
Molecule: ribosomal RNA, 227 nt
Filed under: uncultured bacterium
Lineage: Bacteria
Description: partial 16S ribosomal RNA
Rfam family: Bacterial small subunit ribosomal RNA
Source: RNAcentral